UGCGAAGGCAGCUUUCUGGAUCAUUACUGACACUGAGGAACGAAAGCAUGGGUAGCGAAGAGGAUUAGAUACCCUCGUAGUCCAUGCCGUAAACGAUGUGUGUUAGACGUUGGAAAUUUAUUUUCAGUGUCGCAGCGAAAGCGAUAAACACACCGCCUGGGGAGUACGACCGCAAGGUUAAAACUCAAAUGAAUUGACGGGGACCCGCACAAGUAGUGGAGCAUGUGGUUUAAUUCGAAGAUACGCGCAGAACCUUACCAACACUUGACAUGUUCGUCGCGACUUUAAGAGAUUAAAGUUUUCGGUUCGGCCGGACGAAACACAGGUGCUGCAUGGCUGUCGUCAGCUCGUGUCGUGAGAUGUUGGGUUAAGUCCCGCAACGAGCGCAACCCUCACUUUUAGUUGCCAUCAUUAAGUUGGGCACUCUGAAAGAACUGCCAGUGAUAAGCUGGAGGAAGGUGGGGAUGACGUCAAGUCCUCAUGGCCCUUACGUGUUGGGCUACACACGUGCUACAAUGGUAUCUACAACAGGAAGCAAGACGGCGACGUUAAGCAAAUCCUCAAAAGAUACCUCAGUUCGGAUUGCACUCUGCAACUCGAGUGCAUGAAGCUGGAAUUACUAGUAAUCGUGGAUCAGCGUGCCACGGUGAAUGCGUUCCCGGGUCUUGUACACACCGCCCGUCACACCAUGGGAGUUGGUUCUACCUUAAGGCAAGGUUUCAAACCCUUGACCACGGUAUAGUCAGCGACUGGGGUGAAGUCGUAACAAGGUAGCCGUAGGGGAACCUGCGGCUG
This 795-nucleotide ribosomal RNA is filed under the name marine metagenome. RNAcentral describes it as "bacterial SSU rRNA". It matches the Rfam family "Bacterial small subunit ribosomal RNA", at positions 714 to 1520 of the family's 1533-position model. The record is from RNAcentral.